AGUUGAAUGGCAGGGCAAUUCUCCUUUGGCGGAUAAUAUAGCACUUUUUCUACAAGUGCAACAUUUUCUGCCAAAGGAGAAUUGCGCUGUUAUUCUUCU
Theobroma cacao (cacao) is the source of this 99-nucleotide microRNA precursor. It matches the Rfam family "mir-399 microRNA precursor family". Rfam says of the family: mir-399 was identified in both Arabidopsis thaliana and Oryza sativa computationally and was later experimentally verified. mir-399 is thought to target mRNAs coding for a phosphatase transporter. The mature sequence is excised from the 3' arm of the hairpin. NCBI's taxonomy places the organism in Eukaryota, Viridiplantae, Streptophyta, Magnoliopsida, Malvales, Malvaceae. The record is from Rfam.